RNAcentral lists this long non-coding RNA (703 nucleotides) under Equus caballus (horse). RNAcentral's name for it is "lncRNA (ENSECAG00000032316.3)". Lineage: Eukaryota; Metazoa; Chordata; Mammalia; Perissodactyla; Equidae. The record is from RNAcentral.
GGCACAGCCAUUCUGCUGGAAGUCAGGUGGACACUGAAGCCCAUCGCGAAUGCACCUCAACAUCGUGCUCUUUAGGUGGCAGGCAGGCGCGUUGUUUGUGUGUGUGUGAGUGUGCGACACUCACCACAACAGUGCCUGAUGUUGACCGAGAACUUACACAGGGCCGGGACCUGCCCGACACUACCACCACUUCAUCUCAGUUGGGACGGCACCCCUGCGAGCCGGAACUCGCCCCUCGCCCAAGGGAGGCGGCCCCCGCUCCAGGCACCAGGCUGGGAGGCAGGCGGCCUCAGGACGGGCUCUGCGUGCAGCAGCGGCCUCACACUCGCAAGUGGAGCAGACAAGGACGACCGCAGGAAACACUCCCAGCUGGGCUGUGGGCGGGAGCAGUCUCUGCCCACUGGGCGCACAUUGAUGCCACCCCUCGGGAGCGCCCCCAGGACCUCGCUUUCUGCAGCCCUGACAUCCAAGCCCUGGAAUGUCCUUCCUGUUCCACUGUUUCUCUUGGCCACCUCUAAAGAAGGCGUCGGGGAACACACAUCACUUGGGGGAGGGUUCCGUGUUCUCAGUCACGUCCUGACUCGAUGAGGCUUCUGGGUUGCUCAGUGUCUCAGACAGCCUCAGCCCCUGUUGUCCGAGUCUUUCCGCAGCAGAACUCUCUCGAAAGCUGUUUGCUUAUCUGUUUACUUCCAGGCAGAUCCAG